GUAGUCCACGCUGUAAACGUUGGGCGCUAGGUGUGGGGACCCUCUCCGGGUGUCUGCGCCGCAGCUAACGCAUUAAGCGCCCCGCCUGGGGAGUACGGCCGCAAGGCUAAAACUCAAAGGAAUUGACGGGGGCCCGCACAAGCGGCGGAGCAUGCGGAUUAAUUCGAUGCAACGCGAAGAACCUUACCAAGGCUUGACAUAUACGAGAACGCCGCAGAAAUGUGGAACUCUUUGGACACUCGUAUACAGGUGGUGCAUGGUUGUCGUCAGCUCGUGUCGUGAGAUGUUGGGUUAAGUCCCGCAACGAGCGCAACCCUCGUCGUAUGUUGCCAGCACGUAAUGGUGGGAACUCAUAUGAGACUGCCGGGGUCAACUCGGAGGAAGGUGGGGAUGACGUCAAAUCAUCAUGCCCCUUAUGUCUUGGGCUUCACGCAUGCUACAAUGGCCGGUACAAAGGGCUGCGAUGUCGUAAGGCGGAGCGAAUCCCAAAAAGCCGGUCUCAGUUCGGAUUGAGGUCUGCAACUCGACCUCAUGAAGUCGGAGUCGCUAGUAAUCGCAGAUCAGCAACGCUGCGGUGAAUA
Molecule: ribosomal RNA, 581 nt
Filed under: uncultured Agromyces sp.
Lineage: Bacteria; Bacillati; Actinomycetota; Actinomycetes; Micrococcales; Microbacteriaceae
Description: bacterial SSU rRNA
Rfam family: Bacterial small subunit ribosomal RNA
Source: RNAcentral